UAUGGCCAUACCACCCUGAACAGCCCAGUCUCAUCUGAUCUUGAAAGCUAAGCAAGGUCGAGCCUGGUUAGUAUUUGGAUGAGAGAUUUUUGGAUUUGUGAUGCUGAACCAUAU
Fukomys damarensis (Damara mole-rat) is the source of this 114-nucleotide ribosomal RNA. NCBI's taxonomy places the organism in Eukaryota, Metazoa, Chordata, Mammalia, Rodentia, Bathyergidae. The record is from Ensembl.